UAGGACUCAGAGACCGGGUGUCUCAUCCUA
This 30-nucleotide non-coding RNA is filed under the name Rattus norvegicus (Norway rat). The record is from RNAcentral. Lineage: Eukaryota; Metazoa; Chordata; Mammalia; Rodentia; Muridae.